UACGUAGGGUGCAAGCGUUAAUCGGAAUUACUGGGCGUAAAGCGUGCGCAGGCGGUUUUGUAAGUCUGUCGUGAAAUCCCCCGGGCUCAACCUGGGAAUGGCGAUGGAGACUGCAAGGCUAGAGUUUGGCAGAGGGGGGGUAGAAUUCCACGUGUAGCAGUGAAAUGCGUAGAUAUGUGGAGGAACACCGAUGGCGAAGGCAGCCCCCCUGGGUCAAAACUGACGCUCAUGCACGAAAGCGUGGGGAGCAAACAGG
RNAcentral lists this ribosomal RNA (256 nucleotides) under uncultured bacterium. RNAcentral describes it as "partial 16S ribosomal RNA". It matches the Rfam family "Bacterial small subunit ribosomal RNA", at positions 524 to 776 of the family's 1533-position model. The record is from RNAcentral.